CAUGCAGGCGGUCGGACGCGUUUCCAGUGACAGCGGGUGGCUUACCUACCCGAGUAUUGGAAAGACGGUUAGACUUGAGGACUCGAGAGGGACACGGAAUUCCGGGUGGAGUGGUGAAAUGCGUAGAGAUCCGGAGGAACAUCGAAGGCGAAGGCAGUGUCCUAGCGAGUGACUGACGCUGAGGUGCGAAAGCCAGGGGAGCGAACGGGAUUAGAUACCCCGGUAGUCCUGGCCGUAAACGAUGACCACCAGGUGUGGGAGGUAUCGACCCCUUCUGUGCCGGAGGAAACCCACUAAGUGGUCCGCCUGGGGAGUACGGUCGCAAGAUUAAA
This 332-nucleotide ribosomal RNA is filed under the name uncultured bacterium. RNAcentral describes it as "bacterial SSU rRNA". It matches the Rfam family "Bacterial small subunit ribosomal RNA", at positions 568 to 898 of the family's 1533-position model. The record is from RNAcentral.